UCUCCCGUGAGGGAGCAGUCUCGCCUGGCCAUAUAGGCAACAGACAACGGGGGUUGCGUUCGUUACCCCACUGAAGGGAACAACUCAAGCCACGAACUGACGACGACCAUGCAUCACCUGUACAGCACCCUCGAAGGCUACUAAAGUUUCCUAAAGUAUGCAGCUGUAUUUCUAGCCUUGGUAAGGUUCUUCGCUUGUCGACGAAUUAAGCCACAUGAUCCACCACUUGUGCGAGUCCCCGUCUAUUCCUUUGAGUUUUAAGCUUGCGCUCGUACUACCCAGGCGGCUCGCUUACCGCGUUAGCUUAGCCCCGCAGAGGGUCGAUACUCCGCAGAGCGAGCGAGCAACGUUUAGGGCCAGGACUAC
This 366-nucleotide unclassified non-coding RNA is filed under the name uncultured bacterium. RNAcentral's name for it is "contains 16S-23S intergenic spacer region". The record is from RNAcentral.